AGCUUGGUGUAGUGGUUAGAGCAUUGGACUCUGACUCUGGAGACCAGGGUUCGAAUUCCCACUAGGUUA
Molecule: non-coding RNA, 69 nt
Organism: Phrynosoma platyrhinos (Desert horned lizard)
Lineage: Eukaryota; Metazoa; Chordata; Lepidosauria; Squamata; Phrynosomatidae
Source: the annotation of a GenBank genome assembly